UUCAGUUCACUUUUGCUUAUCUUGCUCAGUCGGCCGAUGAUGCCUACUGGGUACCUGUUGUUUUGGUACUCAUGCUACGCUCUGCAUCUAUUUUGUGAUGCAGGUCCGAGCACUAGUAGCCAGCGUUGAUCUAGCCUGGAGUAGACUUAUCCGGAGACGGGGGUGAGCACACGGCGUUUUGUACUAUUUCAGUCUCCAUCUGUAUAUAUAGACUUGUCUUCUUCCUUUCGAGACAGUCCAGUCUCUGUUGUCCAGUUUUGGGACUUGUACUCAUUUUGUAGUAGCUCUGUACUAGUGACUUCCAGGUUCUGGGAGGGAUCUUUAUUUGUAUUUAUGUUUUUGGUUUGCUUCCGCCUGUUUAUAUUGUUAUUUGCCUACUCCUGUUUAAUUUCUACCCUCAGACCCAUUACUUGUUGUUCCGGGUUACGGGUUGGCUUACCUGCUGGUGGGUUAUAGUAGGUGCCAUCAUGACUUGAUAAAUCGAGUCGUGACAUGAACUUGGAAAGAGGGAAACAUACUUGCCUCAACUCAACCUCAACACAUGGAUACUCAACUUAAUACAGUAUAAAAACAACAAUAAAGAUGCAGUUUAUAUAAAGCACUUAAAAUAGUAGAUAAAAACUCAAUGUAUUUAAAACUACAAUAAUAACUCUUAUUUGUAUGGAAAUAUACAAAAUAACUCAAAUUGGAAGAUUCUCUAACCGACAACCAUCACUAUGAGCUAUGUGAUGAUACAGUUUCUCGCCAACGCUGCCAAAACUGUCCUAUACCUUGCUGGAGUAUAAGGCAUCCUCAACUAAGUUGAUCCACUAAAGUAUGCUUAAAAAACAAUAAAGAAUCAUCUAAAAAUUAUAACCCUUUCUACCUACGUUGGCUACAUGGUUUAUGAGCACUUUGAGUUGCAUGAUCUCAUCCACAUAUCGGUGUUCAAUACUACUCCCAAUAAUAUACUCAGCUCAUAUGUUUAAAAAUAUUUCCUCAUCCUAAAGCUUUGAGAUUAUUACUCAAAACUUCUCUUAAAAGAGAUUAUACACAAAAACUCCACAUGAACUCACUUGGAAAUCGAUGUUUCCUCUCAUUUUAAAUGUAAAAAACAUUUACUCUUGGGAAUACUUAGUUCCCAUAUAUUCAUUUGAAAAUGUAACUCAACUCUCCUAAUCCUCAAACUCAAGUCUUUAAACAAGUUUUAAAAGAUUGUGAAAGACUUCUCAAAAUGACUUGAAAGAACUCUCAAGACUUUAUUCUUAACUCUACCUUGAAUUUGAAUUACGAAUUCAAGGGUUCUGAUUCAUGUUAUGAAGGAACUCUCGAUGUUUAGAUGUAGUUUAGAGUAGUUAAAAUCAUAAAGGAGUAAAGGUACACCUUAAAAAGGGUGGGGGCAGGCGACCCUAGCGCACUGUUGGCGGGGGGCGUCAGCCCCUGAACUUCAUAGACGUAAUCUUGGCGCACUUCUGGCGUGCCACGCCAGACCUUCUGGUGUAUCUGGGGCGCGCCGCUCCAGCCUUUCCCCAGAUCAAUCUGAUGAUUUUUUCUUCUUGUUUUCUGACCAUAAUUCGACUAGUAUCGAUUGUUAUCCUCAAAUUUUGCUUAGAUGCAUUUAUCCAAUACAAGUACACAAGAAUCUACUCACUUUACCUCAAGAACAACCCUCAAAGAUCGAAAUCCUCAUCUCAAGAAUUCAUCAAACUCGAUAAGUAAAACAUGAAGAACAAAACCUCAAGAACAACCAUCAAGAAUUCAAAUCAUUCAACCUCAAGAACGAAAUUAAGGAUGUAAUUUACAUGAUUGGUGUGCGGGUGAACGAACCCACACUAUGAAAGCUUACAUACCUUAAUUUGGUGAAAUUCCUCGACAAAUAUCAAGAAUCUUGACGGACGCCUUGAACCUCUCCUCUUGAACUCCUCUCAAAACCCUAAGCGUAAUUUAGAGUUGUAAAAUCUAGCCCAAAUCAGUUUAGACCCCAAAAGUAUUACUAAAAAUGUUUAAAGCUGAUGGGGUAAGGAAAAGACGAAAAUAUCCCUCAUUAAUCGGGUAAAUUUCCUUGACUAGAAAUGCUGAUGUCAAACAAGCAUUUCUCCCUCAUUCGAAUUUGAAAUUUAGCAAACUUUGUGGCGUUGGAAAGAGGAUUCAAAGACCUUGCAUUUCAUAUCUUAUGGGACACCUAACUCAUCAUGUACUUAAAGUUAUGGUCAUUUUAAGUUGACUCAAACCUCACAACUUAAGCUUAACUUGAACAAAUCUCAAAUUAGCUCUUUCCAAAUUAGUUAUUUAUAAAUUUAGCUAUUUCUAAGGUGGGAUGUUACAAUAUAUCCCCCUUCCAAAUAUUUGUCCUCGAAUGAGAUUACUCUUAGUAGACUAAGGGUGGCAACAUCUAGCUAACACCCAACUCAAACACCCAACAUCCAGACUCAAAGAGAUGUGGGUAUCUCUUCUUCAUAUCCUCCUCAGCUUCCCAAGUAGCUUCCUCAAUAAACUGAUUCUUCCAUAAGACCUUGACUGAUGCUACCUCCUUGGUUCUCAACUUGCGAACUUGACGAUCAGGUAUCUCAAUGGGUACCUCCUCAUAAGAUAGGCAAUCCUUAAUACCAAUAUUUUCAGUAGGUAUAAUAAGUGAAGGAUCGCUAUCUUAUUUAAUAGUCUUUUAGAUAUCUAAACAGUUUUGUUGAACAAUUAUAGUUUGUCUUAGAUGUUUUUGCAUUGGUGACACAAAUUUUUGUGCAUUCUUGGUAUUUUCCAUACUUUAUAUAUGUUUUUAUGAAAGCUUGAUAUAUGACUUAUUACUCUAUAAUUUUAAUUUUCUUUGCUUUAUUAUUUAUUGUCGUUGUUGGCUGAAAGAUUGACUUAUCUACUUAUGGGUUAGGAUUAAAAAAUUAUGAUUUAUUUUCUUAUGAUUGUCGGAUAAAAGAAAUUUCAAUAAACAAGAAAUUAUUUGUCAAUUACAUGUUGUGCCACGAUUGUUAACUAUUAUUUGCUAUCAUUUUCACUACAAUAAUUACAAUCUUCCUUUAGUUUUAAAUUCCUUGAUCAAUCAAACAACUUCAUAUUAAUUGAAACGUAUGAAGUAUAAAUCGUCUAACUCUCAGAAGACUAAUAUUGCAAUGCUAAUUGUGAUUAGUAAAUAAAAUUUAUAAACACUGUCAAUCAAGAAAGUUAAUUUUCAUUCACCAUUUGAUAGCUUCCACACCUAAUUUUUUUUCUAAUACAUAACUUUUUAUUAACAGUACGAAAUCUCAAUAUUUAGAAAGAUAUCAUCAUAUAUUAUUAGAAGUGGGAAGCUCUAAAGUGAAAAGUUGAAUUAUUAUUUUGACCUUCUACUAAAUUAAAAUUUGAUUAAUUAUUUAAUUAAAUACAAUUAUUUUAAUUACAUAAUGAUAUAAUUUGAAGUCCUUAAGCCCUUUAAUAAUUAAAUUAUUAUUUUCUUGAUAAAUGAGUACAUUGAUAUUUCUUUUAAUCAUAACUAUGAAUCUCAUAACGGAAAAAUUUGCAAAGUUAUGAUUGAUAAAAUAAUUUAACCGAAUUUUUUUCUUCUAAAAUAGCUACAUUUUCUCUUCUAAAUAAACUCUAUUGUUUAAUAUUGAAGUAAAAAAUUUGAAGAGGUGUCAUUAAUUAAAAAAAUUAUACAUAAAAGUUUCAUCUAUAAUGAUUCACUUAGAUGGUCAUAUUUGUACUAAGUGUAUUCAUCCUAAUUUGAUUCUUCUUUGCUAAUAAAAGAUAUUUUUGUUCGGUCAUUUAUAUAAGUUGUUUUCUGUUAUGUUUGUAUAGUACUUUUGGCUGGAAUUGUAACAAUUUGAAGGUUGCUUGUUGUAUUUUGGUAUAUUCAAUGAAUUCUUCAAAAAGGUACAUAAAAAACAAAGUCAACAUGUAAUGUUAUAACAUUUUGUUUAAUUUUUAUUUAUUUAUUUUCAAUUGAAGGACGGUGCACAAAUCGAUGUACCAAUUCUUUCUUGGGUAAUCGAUUGUAUAUAAGAAAGAACAAUUUUCUGUAUAAGAUGACAUUCAUCUAUGUGCCUGUGAUGUAAUUUUUUAUUUUUUUAGAGAUUUAAGAUUUUUAUUCUUUACAACAAGUUGGGUUGGGUAUGAUUGUGGUAAUUGAAUAACUGAUAAUUUGUGAAUGUGAUGUUCAUUUUUAUAAAUUAUCAUUCUUACUAUAGUUACUUCAUAAACCAUCUCUUAUUUAUAUAUGAAAUGAAAAUCAAUUCAUAUGGCAUUUGUAACUACAUACUCUCAAUUCAGAAGAGUAAGAAUUGAAGAAAAUGUUGAAGUAAAAAGAAGAAAAGACGCAAUAUUACUGAUGCAUUUUGCAUCUUCAUUAUAUUGUAUAACUAAAAUUUUAUUGUUCUAUGAAAUUUUAAAACUUAUUUCUUUAGGUAUUUUGUGCAGAAAAACAAGUAUUAGCAUUUAUUAAUUUUUUUUAGCAAAUUUUAUGUAAUAUGGAACAUGAAAUUGAGAUUGUUCUUCUUAUUUGCUUAUAAAGUGAUUUUAUUAUGACUGAACUAACCAUGAUACUGUUACAUAUAUUUCUUUGUAGAUAUAUUCCAUAAAAUUCAUAAUGAUUUAUUAGCCAUCAUAAGAAGAUAUAUGUUGUUCGAAUCUCUAUACUACUUACAAAAAAAAAAAUUCAACAAGUUCUCAAGGAAUCAACUUGCAAAUUCAUAACUAUUACAUAUUUCUUUCUCGACAUUAGCUAAGUCUUUUUCAAAGUUUAUGGCUAUUGAUUAACACUCUUGCCGAAAUUUGCUUGAUGACAAAAAACAGGAAAAAAGUGAAUUGCAUCCUUACAAGAAAAAAAAAUUAAUUAGUUUAAAUUGCUCCAACACACUUUUCUAUUGCAAUUUUUUUGAUGAGUACAAAAUUUUAAUACAAAAGUUUAAGAUAACAUUAGUGCAAAUAUUUGUCCUGUCAUCUAUAUUAAAACUUUCACACUUGCCUUGGAAAUAUCAUUUUCUUCUAAGAACGGAAGCCGUUAUUCUAUCUUAAUUACAUAUCCAAUUCUUAGAUGUAUUAAUCAGAUUAACUGAUUAAAAAUAUUGAAUAAUUUACACUAAAUGUACGGUUCAUCCAAUUACAAUGAGAAAGAUUUAUAUACACUAGACAUGAUGUGCAUAACUCUUAAAAAAAUAAAAUAGAUGCUUAUGACAAACAUUAUCUUAUCUCUGGGAGAUAAGCAGUAUGAUGACUUUUUAAUUAUAUUUUAUAACCCCUAAAAAUUUCUAAUAAAAAUUUAUGCAAGGAAAAAAUUGUUAUUUUUAGAUAGAAAAAUAUAUUGUCAAGCAGGCCUAAACGUGCCCAGAAACUAGUUUAAAAAAAAUCUUGAAAUUAAAAAUCUAACACCAAAUUCAACAAAAGUCAAUUAAUUUUGUAUUAUCUAUAUAUUGUCUUAUAUGAGUUUAGUUACGACUUACGACCCAGAUAAGAACGAAAUCAUGACACAUUUAAAUUACCACAAUCUAUAAUAUAACAGUUUUUAUGCUAUAAGUGAUCUUAUAUGUGCAAGGUUUUUCACUAAAACCCCUCAAAUAGUUUCUUAAUUUGUUCAUCCAAAUUUCAAAUUUACAAUUUACAAAAGGUUGUUACAAAUAUUUUUUCAUAUAAGCGCUUUGAUUUUCCCCUGUAUAUGUAUGUAACUUGCUCUUAAUAAGACUUUUACUACUGUUAUCUAAGGAUUUGUUUGUUCAGUAUUGAUAUUCAUCAAGCUUGUCAAAAUUAAAUCAACAAUGACAAACUAUAUUUUCAUUUAAGCGCUUUGAUUUGCCCCUAUAUAUAUGUAUCUCAGUCUUAAUAAGCCUUUUACCACUGUUCUCUAAGGAUUUGUUUGUUCAGUAUUGAUAUCCAUCAAACUAGUUUUGAUGCAUGUGUGUUGCACAUGAAUAUUAAUCCAUGUACUACACUAUUUUUAAAAAUAAUGUCAAUAUUAUUAAAUAAAAAAAUUAAAUAAAUAGUUAUCAAUAGAAUGAUGAAGUAUAAGUUCCUGUGAAUAGUGGAUGUAAACUUUCUUAUGAUUACUACUAAAAGUUGUCAUAUCAACAUCCGAUAAACACAUAUAACUAUUUAUAAUAUAAAUCUAGAUAUAGAUAAGAUGAUCAGACAUUUCUCUUUGGCCUCCAAUUAAAUUUAUUUUUUUCCUAUUUAUUUUUUUUAAAAAAUUAAAAUUAAUUGUAAUAUGUAAAAUAAAAAAGUCAGUCUUAAAAUCUCUUAUUUACACCUCUUAAAUAUGUUUUCUCCUCCCUCCCCUAUAGUGCAUUACUUAUUUAUAAUAUAUUAUUGUAUUGUUGGAGUUCUUACUUUUAAUAAAGUAAUGGCAAGUGCGUUGCACAUGUGUAUCAUAUAAUAUACUAUACGAUGUUGUAAAAUAGAAUUAAUAGAACUAAAUUAAUUUUUUUAGUAAAUAAUUAUAAUUAAAAAAAUAUUGGAUAAGUGCUUUUAAAUGAUUAAUACACAUUGUCAUAGAGCUAAUUGUUUUUGAGACCAAAAUGACCAGAUAUUAUUGAAACAUUUCAAAAUACAUUUAAAUUUAAAUACGGAAAAAAGUGACAUUUCUUUAGUAGUAUUUUUUUUUACUUUACUAAAUUUUGUAAAUAUAUUUAAACAACAAAUUAGAAAAAAAUAUCAAUAUAAAAAGGUCACCAAUGUAACACCCCGAAAAUUCUACCUCGAAUCAAACCUUGCAAAUUUUCUGCAGUCUGGUGCCACGAAAGGCAUCUACCACCCGUAGAGGUAUCUACGAGCCGUAGGUGGGUCUAUGGAAUCAUGCUCUUGAAAAUUGGUUUUCAGGUCCAAAGUUCACGAGACAACCUAUGGGUCGUAGAAACAUCUACGAUCUAUAAAAGGGCCUUGUGGAAACCAAGUUUGAUAAUGUAACAUCCGACAAUUUGAAAUAGCUAAGAAGAGGCUUGGAAUUUGAAAAUUUUCAUUUUUUGGAAAGAAUUUGAAACUAUGGAAAAAAAAUUUUUGGCUGUGGAAAAAAAUGAAUUUUUGGACAACUUUUAGCAGUCAUAACUUCCAGCUCAGGAUGAUUUAGGAGUAGUUCCAGUUAUGUUUGUGAAGCUUGUGGAAUGAUCUUUCCAACGCCGCCGAGUUUGCUCAAUUCCGAGUUCGUAUGAGCGAGUUAUGGCCAUUGAAAGUUGGGCAGUUGGCAGCGAAUCCGUCCGGAAAAUUAAGGGCAUUUUAGUCUUUUCCCUAGCCAAUUCUUUUGGGAUUAUAUUGUUGUAUAGGUCUGAUCCUUGGAUCAUUUUGUCCCAUUUUAAGAGAUUAAAAAGCUAGGGCUUGAGAGUGAAGAAGAGAAGAAAGAGAAGAAGGAGAAGAAGAAGAGAAAAAUCGAGGACAUUAACAAGUUUCCGACAAGAUUAUCGUGGAAUUUCGUCGGGGGUGAUCCCUAUCAAGGUAUGUGAGUAGUAAGUGUGGGUUGAUCCCUUUCCCCCACACACCUAGCCCCUUUUAUUAAUUGAGAAAGGAUUGGUUAUGUUGUUAAAGUUGUUAGUUGUUGUUGUUGAAGUUGUUGGAGUUGUUAAAGUAGUUAGUUGUUGUUGUUGAAAUUAUUGUUGGUGGUGGGACAUGAUUGGGUUGUGUAUUUGUGUUGUAAUCUAGUGUAUGUUGAGAGUUUGAUGAUCCUUAGUGUUUGGGGUUAAAUCCAUUGGAGUAAAGAUGGUUUAGAGUUGAAGAAAAAGGGAAGAAAAGUCGAGUUUCUGGGCAAGGGGGUUGGCGCGUCGCGCCUGCUAGCGCACCCCAAAGGGGACUCUGAAGUCCAGCCCUUAGGGCGGCGCACCACUCAGAGUGCCAGCAGGUGCCCUCUGAACUUCAAGGGCUGGCGCUCCGCGCCUUGCAGAGCGCCAAGGACGCCAUGCUCUCCCUUUCUUUCCACACUUUCUCAUGCAUGUUCCUAGGUAUUAUACCUAUGUUUCUAAGUUGUUUCCAACACUUCAAGUUGCGUUUAAAUGUCAAGAAUUCAUCCGUAAAUGUGUGAUCAUAUGCCUUGAAUCCAUAAUUCAAUUCAAGUUGAGUUCAUGUCAAGGUUAAAGGGAAGUUAGAGUCAAGUCAAGCAAGGUUAAGAAGUAAGUUCAAGCAAGUUUUCAAAGUUGUUCAAGAGUCUUUAUUGAACGUUUUCACUUCAUUCUAAAGCUCAAGUUGCAAGACAAGUAAAGAGUAAAGAGUCUAGAGUUUUUAAGUUGAGUAAAGGUUUCAAAGUUGAGUUCAUUUCUCAAAGUUAUUAGGGAACUAUGUAUUCCCAAGGAAGUUUUAAAGAAAUGUUUUUACAUUUAAACAAGGUUGGAAACUGAGAUUUCCAAAAGAGCCUUCGGGCUAGUUUUUGAGUAAUUAUCUCAUGUCAGCAGGAAGAAAUAUGUUUUUUAAAAAACAUAAGAGCCAGUACAUUUUUGGGAGUAGUAUCGAGCACCGAAUUGGGGGAGCCUUCAAAGAACCCACAGCCCCCAUAGAACCAUGUUAGCCACCAUGGGUAGAAAAGGAUCAUACUUUUUAGAUGAAUCCUUUUCAAAUUAGACUGAUGGAUCCAUUAGGCAGUUCAGGUCCUAUACCUUUGGCAGGGAAUAAAAUGCUCUGGCAGCGUGAGGUCGAUCGUUGUAUCAUCACUAUAGCUCUUAUGUGAUGGUUGUCGGUUAGAGAAACUCCCACAGCAGUUAUUGUAUUUUCAUACACAGAAAGUAUUGUAUUUUUAUAUACAUCAGUUCAUUUGUAUUUCUAUAUACAUCUGAGGCUUAUUGUAUCUUUGUAUACACACAAGGUUUAUAGCAUGUUUUAAGCAGCCUUUCUUUAUAUCGCACUUAUUUUAAAUUUCCUUAUAUUGAAAGAAGUCAGUCAGGUUGAUUUGAGUUGAGCAGGUAAGCUUUUCAGUGUCUUCCAGAUCUCCUGCUAGCCUUUGUUGUUUAGUUCCAGCUCGCAUACUCGUACAUUCCAUGUACUGAUGCCAGUUGGUCUGCAUCGUUUUAUGAUGCAGACGCAGGUACCCAGGAUCAGCAUCCAGCAUGCUGUGAUCCAGUUGAGCACUCCAUUGUCAGUGGUGAGCCUCCUUGCUUCCGGAGGACUCGGUUAUUUUGAUUAUCUUAGUUUUGUUCUAGUAGGAUGUUGUGGGUCUGUCCAACAUCCAUCUCAGUACUUUAGAGGCUUCAUAGACAGUCAGUCAGUCAGUUAGUUUUUGAGUCUCCCAUCUAUGUAUAUAUGUAAAUAUUCUAUUUUGAGACUCGAGUACCUUUUUUGGCCAGAUAUGUAUCAUUUAAGUUGUUUAUGUCUUUGCAUGGCAUUGAGUUAUUCUGUUGAGUAGGUUUCCGCUGAGUUAAGAAAGCCAGGCCAAGGGUUCGCUUGGGGCCAGCAAUGGUCUCCGAGUGCCGGUCCCGCCCAGGGUGUAGGCUCGGGGCAUGACAGAUAACACUCCCAGUAAAAUUUCUACGGACGAGCAUGACGACUCGUCAAAAUUCUUACGGACCGUAGAAAGGGUCCGCAAAUCAGGAAAACUUAGCAUGUUCCUAUGAGAGGGUCUACGACCCUUAGACUUUUGUACGGACCAUAUAUGGCUUCUGUCACACCCCUUUUUCGCACGUCAAAAAGGAUUUUCCAAUUUUAAGUUACGGUAUUGAGUAGGGAUUAUUUUUAUUUUUCAGAGUCGCCACUUGGAAUUGAGUUAUGGUGUUAAUCUCUAAUCAAAAGGAAAUGACUCAUUGUUUGAUCUGCGAACUAGAAAUUCAGGUAAGAAAUUUUGUUGUCUGAGGGGAAGGUAUUAGGCAUCCCUCGAGUCCUGUGGUUCUAGCACAAUCGCUUUUAUUAACGAGGCACCCCGGUCUGAACAUGCCAGGUUGGUUGACAAACCCAAGGGCAAAGCCAGGGGAGGAGGGGGCAGCCGGAAAGGAUAGUUCCUGAGGUUCUAGAAAAAAAUAAACAGGAGUGUGGUUACAUACAAACUUAUACUUAUUUUAACGAUCUUUUAGAUAUAUAUAUUUAUAGGUCAUGAUUUGCUCGCAUUUUUUAUUUGUUGAACUUUUAUUUGGUCUCGACCUAGAUACGUAACCGCAUUCUUGAUCUUGACAUUUAGAGACAUAACUAUCUUCUUUGCAUCACACUAAAUAAUUUUUUGUCUAUAAGUCUCUACAUUAAAUUAAAGAAAGUUAAUUAUAAUUUUGAACAAGGUGCGUCAUUGAAUCCUUGAGUUUAUCUUCAUAUUUCAAGAAAAAGAUGUGUAGCCACAUUCUUAAUCGAAAGAAAUAUUUUUUACAGGUCGUAUAUCCUAAUAUUUACCUAUUGCUAGAAAGCUUAAAUGGAUUAUUAAUGAUUAAAUUACUUUUUACUGUUUAUAUUCAUGAAUACUAUUUACAUAAUAAAAUUCAAAAUCUUAAACAAACAAAGAGUUUUUUUUUCAUAUUCAAAUUUGAUGUAGAUGCACUUACAUUUUUCGUAUACUUACAAGUUAUGCAAAAAGACAAUUAAAAUAAAAAAUAAAAAUCUGUAACUCUUCAUCUUUUAAUUUUUCUAAAAUAAACAUUUUUUAACAUUAGAUAAAGUUGACUAAACAAACUAUUAGAAUAAUUCUCUCAGACAUUUAGUUGAUUUUGGUUGGACAUAAGAGAUACUUAAUUGAUAACAUCAUAUGGUAUAAGAUGAAAAAUAAUGUAUAAUAGAAUAAAUAGGAAAUAUUUCAAUAUUAUUGUGUCAAAAUUAAACACACAUAAAAUUCGAGAAAAUUUCAUAACAUUGGAAUCAAGUAUUAUAUAAUCAUAAAAAUCAAAAUAUACAAUAAAAAUUAAACGGUACCUCUUGCAAAAAUUCAAUUCACAAAAAGGAAACAAUUCUAAUAAGGAACCACGAAGGUGAACCUCGACUCAACCUUUGUUUGUAAAUAGAAUGAAUAUAUAUAUUUAUAUUUAUAUAUAUGUAUGUGUGUGUGUGUGUGUGUGAGGGUGAAUAUUUUUUCUUCCCGUAUCUAGGUAGUAUUUUAGUGUUGUGUGUGAGUUGUUUUUUUUCCUUUUUCUGUGGAUCUGUGAGUAUGUUUGCUGAUUUUUUUUCUUUUUCAGAGGAUACAUGAUUGGAGGGAGUGAUUGGAGGGGACAUCAAUACUGAGUUUUUGAUGUCCUCUCUCAGUCCAGAUAUAAAGAGGUGAAGCAUAAGACUAUCAGAAAUACCAUCAGUCUCAUUUGCGAUGGCUUCAAACCAUCCUUGCAGAUCUGAGACUGUGGUAACUUGUCGGAGUUUUGCCAAUCUUCCCUCCGCCGACUCCAAACCCGUCUGUUUGAACCGGAUUCACACCUUUUCAGCAAAAUGUGGCCAAUCAACUAAUUGCUUGUUCCUAACAACCAUAUGUACCAUUCCAGUGCUUCGCCGUCGAGAAAAAAUGAUGCCAUGGUCAGCCUCUGAUCUUCCUCAAUUCUAUAAAAAUCAAAGUAUUGUUUCGCUUGGAAUAUCCAAGCCUCCAAGUUGUCACCACGAAAUCGACCCAAUUCCACUAAAGCAGGUUUGUUCCUGGGUAUGGUGGUUGUUGGUAGAUGUUCCUAUCGAGUUAUCUAGCUCCAUGGUCGGUUCAUGACGAUGUGUCCCUAAUAAGUUUAAGAACAAGAGGAGUUCGAGAAAAUAAGAGCAGAUUGAUUGUUAUGCCGUUUGUACCUUUUAUUUAUAGACUUUGUACAUGUUUAUGAUUAAUAUAAGAAUCUUUAUCUACUACGUAUUCUAAAGGAACAGUAAUCCUUUUGUUACAAUGAAUAAGCUACAAUAAUCGAAUUCUCGUUAAUACUGGACUUUAAUAGCCCCCUGCAAGAUCAUGUUCUGGAGAGAACCAUGAGCUUGGAUCGAAGAUUGAGGACCGACUUGUGCCAACCACUUUGGUAAAGAUAACUGCAAUCUGAUUUUGAGAUGAAACAUAGAGAACCACUAAAGAUUGAUCUUCAACCAUCUCUUGGAUAAAGUGAUAAUCAAGACGAAUAUGCUUUGAUCGUUGAUGAAUGACAGGAUUCCGAGAUAAAAAUGGUGCACUAAGAUUAUCACAAAGGAAUAUGGGAGGUGGAGUGAGAGGAGCACGUAGUUCACUGAUAAGCUGUUGCAAAGGCUAAAGCAUGAUACUCAGCUUCAAUACUUGAGCGGGCGAUAGCCUUUUGUUUUCGCGAAGACCAACUGAUUAAGUUACCUCCUUAGAAUAGUGCAAACCCAUGUUGGAAGUGACUAUCAUCAAGAUCAGAGAUCCAACCAGCAUCCUAAAUGGCCAUAAGACUAGAAUCAGGCAUAGAUCGUAGUAAGAGGCCAUCAUGAAUGGAUCAUUUUAGAUAUCGAAAUGUGUGUUUGACAGCUAACCAAUGAGAAAUAGUAGGUGAUUGCAUAAAUUGGCAUACUCGAUUGACUGCGUAGGAUAUUUUUGGCCUAGUGAUGCUAACAUAUUGAAGAGCAGCAACGACACUACGAUAUAAAUGAGCAUCAGACAGAGGAUCACCAGAAAGAAUAAGUCGUGAUCCAUGUUCAAUCAGACUAGAAAUAAGCUUAGCAUCAACCAUGUUUGUUCGACGAAGUAAGUCACGAAUAUACUUGCCUUGAGAUAAAAUGAUCCCAUUUGAUGUUGGAGAGAUUUCACUACCAAGAAAAUAAUUUAAGGAACCAAGAUCUUUGAGAGAGAAUUGCUUAUCAAGAGUGUGAAUAAAUGUAGCGAUGAAAUCACUAUCACUACCAGUUAUAAUAAGGUCAUCCACAUAGACAAGAACAUAUGUUGUAUGCUUAGAAGCUUGCUGCACAAAAAAAGAAAAGAGUCAGAUAAACAAGAGCGGAAGCCAAUGUCGAGGAGAAAAACCUUUAACUUAUUGAACCAAGCACGUGGUGCUUGUUUGAGGCCAUAAAAGGCCUUGUUCAAUUUGCAUACGAAAUGUGGCUGAUGAGCAUCAACGAAUACUUUUGGUUGCUCCAUAAACACUUUCUCAUAAAGAUUACCAUUUAAGAGCGCAUUGUUGAUAUCAAGUUGCCAAACAGACCACUUGUUUGUCAUAGCUAAAGACAAGAUUAGUGGAACAAUUGUGAGCUUAAUGACGGGACUAAAAGUAUCAAAGUAAUCAACACCCUCCUCUUGGUGAAAGCCUUUAGCUACAAGACGAGCUUUGUGACGUUCAAUUGGUCCAUCGAUUUUCCUCUUAAUCGUGUAGACCCAUUUACAACCAACAAUCGUAGAGUUAGACGGUGGUGGAACUAAUGUCCAUGUCUUAUUUCUCAUAAGAGCUAAAACUUUUGUUUGCAUAGCAUGGUGCCACUCAGGAAAUUUGGAGGCUUGAUGAUAAGGUGUAGGUUCUGGAAUGUGAUAGGGAUCAGGAGGUAGUGAAUGUCGAGAUGUUAUAAGAGGUUUUGGUUUUAGGGAAUUAAUUUUACUUCGAACAACCAUAUGAUGGAGAGAGGUGUCCGAGGGGAGAAAAUAGGAAGGAGCUGUGGUCGGGUAAGAGGAAUUAGUAGAUGGUGGUAGAUGCUCAGGUGGGUAAGUGAUUGGUACAUGCUCUAUUUGUGGAAGAGCCAGAGGGGGGUACAGUAGAGGGCGCGUUUGUAUGAUUAGGUUGCUCAGAUGAAGGGAUAGAUGAUGCAACUGGAAUAUUUGAUAAUGACCUUGGAGCGAUAGAGUGUGUAGGAGAAUGUGAACGCACUUGUUGAGAAGCUUGAUCAAGUAAAGAGAAAGAUGUAUUGCUAAGAAUGUGACGAGGGACAAGAGGAUUUUGGGAUCGGUAACAUGGAGGAAUAAGGGAAAGUAUUUUCAUCAAAUACAAUGUGGCGAGUAAUAUAGAUUUGAGAGGAUGCAACAUGAUAACAUAGGUAACCUUUGUGAAGAGAACUAUACCCGAUAAAGACACAAGGAAGAGAUCGAAAAUCAACUUUAUGAUGAUUAUAGGGUCGAAGAAACGGAUAACAAAGGUAACCAAAUUUUUUAAGAAAACCAUAAUCAGGAGAACUUUUGUAAAGUAAUUGAUAUGGCGAUUUGUAAGACAAAGAAGAAGAUAUGGUAAUAUUGGAUAAGUAUGUAGCAGUGUAAAAAACAUGCUCCUAAAAUUGGAAAGGAAGAGAAGCAUGAGAAAGAACAGCGAGUCCUUUUUCAAUUAUAAUUCGAUUUCAGCGUUCCGAUGCACUAUUUUGUUGAGGUGUAUAAGGACAAGAGAUACGAUGAUGAAUACCAUGAUUUUGUAAAAAAGAUGAUACAUUUCGGUACUCACCUCCCCAAUCAGUUUGGACUGAUUUUAUUUUAGUUCCAAACUGCAUUUCAAUUAAAGCCUAACAUUGAGUGAAAAGUGGAAAGACUUGUGAUUUACGUGACAUGAAAUAUAUCCAAAUAAAUUUGGUGCAAUCAUCAAUAAAUAAAACAAAGUUGGAAGAUCCAUUAAUAGAAUAAACGGGUGAAGGUCCCCAAACAUCUGAAUAAAUUAAUUGAAAAGGACUACUGCUAGAAACAUGAGAAUGAGAAAAGGGUAAGCGUCUACUCUUUCCUAGUUGACAAGGUUCACAAACAGUAGGAAAUUCAGAACUAGAAAUAGAGAGCCUAAAAUUAGACACAAACCGCCGAAGUAGAGCUUCAUUUGGAUGAGCCAGUCGACGAUGCCAAUCAACAAGAGAAGUGUGUUCACCAAGAAAUAUUGUAGGUGGGUGUCACGCCCCGAGCCUACACCGUGGGAGGGACUGGCACUCGAGAACCAUUGCUAACCCAAGCGAACCCCUGGCCUGGCUUACUUACUCAGCAAAAGACCUAAACUCAACAAAAAAAUAGGUUUAUAUAAUAAACUAGAAUGUUAUAAAAGAACAUUCAACUGGCCAUUAAGGCAAACUCAAGUCUUAACAUGGAAUAAUGAAAAUUAAAAGACUAAAGAACUAACAUCUGACUAUCUAUGAAUCCUCUAAGACAACUGAGAUGGAUGUCAGGACAGAACCCCCGAUUAUCCUAACAAAUGAAGUAUUGAAAAGAAUUAAAAUCAAAUAAAUGAGUCCUCCGAAAUGCAAGGAGGCUCACCACUGACUUGGAAGUGCUCAACUGGAUCAACGGUGCGCGGAAUGCCGAUCCUAGUUACCUGUAUCUACAUCAUAAGACGAUGCAGGCCAACUGGCAUUAGUACAUUGAAUGUACGAGUAUGCGAGUUGGAAUGCUAAAACAACAUAGGCUUGAGAAGAAUCUAAAAGAAACUUAAGAACUUAUCUAGAUAAACUCAACUCAACAUAACUGAACUCAUUUCAAUAUAAGGCAGUUUAAAACAAGUGCAAUAUAAAGAAAAGUUGUUUAAAAACAUCAUGUCAACUCUGUGUGUAUGCAAGGAUACAACAAAACUCUAAAAUGUAUGUGAAAAUACAAUAAACUGUGUAUAUAAGAAUACAAUUACUGUUGUGGGAGGUUCUCUAAUCGACAACCAUCACGUAAGAGAUAUUGUGAUGAUAUAGUGUUUUGUCUCACGCUGCCAGGGCCGUCCUAUACCUUGCCGAGGGUAUAGAACCUUAACUACUAAGUGGAUCCACUAGUCUACGCUAAAAAUCACUAAGGGUUCAUCUAAAAAGUAUGACCCUUUUCUACCCAUGAUGGCUAUAUGGUUUAUAUGGGUUGUGGGUUCUCUGAACGCUCCCUCAUAUCGGUGAUCAAUACUACUCCCAAGAUAUGAUAUGAUAUUAGCUCUUAUAUUUAUUUUUUUAAAAAAAACUUCUUCUGUGAAUUGAGAUUAGUGAUCAAAAACAUAGCUCAAAGGCUAUCUUGGAAAUCAAAGUUUCCCUUCUUGCUUCAUUUAGAAAGCAAUUUCUCUUUUCUGAAAACUAGCCCGAAAGCCCUUUGGAAAUUGAGGUUUCUUUUCUUGUUUAAAUGUGAAAACAUUUUAAACCCUUUGGGAAUACAUAGUCUCCAUAUACUUUUCAAGAAAUGAACUUCAAGCUUUACGCUUUACUGAACUCAAAACUUAAGUCUUAAAACAAAGUUAAAACGUUUGCAAAAGACUUUUGGGGAACUUUAAGAACUUCUCUAGACUUUGAUCUUAACUGCUCUUGACUUGACUCUUAACUGGUCAUUAAAUUGAAUUAUGGAUUUAAGGAUUUUGAUUUGUGAUAGGAAGGAUCACAUGAUGUUUAGGAAUGAUCUUAAAUAGCUAAACAUGAGAAAAGUCACGAAAUCACCGUCUUGGAACAAGUCCGUGACGCGAAGGUGUUUUAAAUAAUUGCUCGCGAAAUUAAAUUUUGAGAUAGAGGAGUCCGCAUCUUAACCGCGACGCGGAGAAACUCUUUGGUCACUGGGGGGCCAAGUCUGCGACGCGGACUUGAGUGCCAGAUCACUCUCGACUUUUUCCUUCUCCCUUUUACAACCCCAAUUCGCCUAAACUCGACUAUCAUCCUCAAAUCCAUUUUAGAUUUUGAUACUUAGCAUAUGUACUCAAGAAUCUAACUCAAAACAACUCUAAAACUCAACGUAAAGAUCUCAGAAACUCCUCAAUUCAGCCCAAUUCAAGAACAACAUUCAAAUUCAAGAAUACAUGUCAAGAACAUCAAAUUUCAAACUCUUUUAGGAAGAAUUUCGAUGAACUAAACAUGUUUGGCGCGUGGGUGAAUGAACCCAAUGCUAUGAAAGACUCACAUACCUUGUAAGAUGAAUUCCUGGGCGAAUCCACAACCAAAAUCGAUUGUUCUUGGCGAACCUUGAGCUUUUCCUUUCCUUUCUCCUCUUUUUCUCUUUUCUCCAAGCCCUAGCGUGAAUAUCCAAUUGACUAAACUGAUCUCAUUCUGAUUUGACCCUUUAAUUAAUUCCCUAAAAUGAAUUAAAUUAAUUGGGUAAGGAAAAGACUAAUCUACCCUUCAAAAAUCCGGAUUAGACUUUCCUUAACCGCACAACCCAACUUCCAAAGAGCAUAACUCACUGAUACAAACUCGGAAUCGUGCAAACUCGGCGGCGUUGGAAAGAUAAUUCCAAGAGAUUUCCAACCAUAUCUGUAAGUACACCUAAAUAUUCUGGAGCAAGGAGUAUUGUCCAUUUGAAGUUGACCAAAACUAAAUUUUUUCUAACUUAAACAAAUUUUCCAGAUUUUCAUUCUUUCCAAAAAUGGCUAUUUCCAGUUAUUAGCUUCUUCCUAGUUAUUUUAAUUACGAGAUGUUACAAUAUCUCUCCCUUGGGAACAAUCGUCCUCGAAUGAGAUUACUCUUACUAGGCUAAGUGUGUAAUAGCAAGUUCAAACAUCCAGCAAGCAAAUGCAACAAACAACAUGCUCACUCAUAAUUUAAAGAGUACUAAGAAGAGAAUUAGUACCUUGGUCUGCUCUUUCUCCGCACUCAAAGAGAUGUGGAUAUAUCUUCUUCAUGUCCUCUUCAGCUUCCCAGGUAGCUUCCUCAAAAAAUUGAUUCCUCCAAAGGACUUUGAUUGAUGCUACCUCUUUUGUUCUUAACUUGCGAACUUGGUGAUCUAGACUUUGAACAGGAAUCUCCUCAUAAGAUAAGCUAUCCUUGAUCUCAAUAUUUUCAGUUGGUAUGAUCAAUGAAGGAUCGCCCAUGCACUUCUUCAACAUGGAAAUGUGAAACACCGGAUGAACCGCGGUUAACUCUUGCGGUAGCUCCAACUCAUAAGCUACAUUGCCAAUCCUCUUGGAUAUUCGAUAAGGUCCAAUAUACCGGGGACUAAGUUUCCCCUUUUUACCAAACCUCAUAACACCCUUCAUGGGUGAAACGUUUAGAUAUACUCAAUCAUCUACUUUGAACUCUAACGCUCUUCUCCUAACAUCAGUGAAGGAUUUCUGGCGAUUCUGCGCCAUUUUCAACCUCUCUUGAAUUACUUUCACCUUCUCCAUAGCUUGAUGAACUAGAUCUAGUCCUAUCAACCCUGCUUCACCAACUUCAAACCAUCCAUUAGGAGAUCUGCAUCUUCUCCCAUAAAGAGCUUUAUAUGGAGCCAUCUGGAUGCUAGAAUGGUAACUAUUGUUGUAAGUGAACUCGAUGAGAGGUAGGUGAUCAUCCCAAUUACCCUUGAAAUCAAUCACGCACUCCCUCAACAUAUCCUCUAAAGUCUGGAUAGUGCGCUCUUCUUGCCCAUCUGUCUGAGGAUGAAAUGUGGUACUUAAGUUCACCUCUGAACCCAAACCUUUUUGGAAUGUCCAAAACUGUGCAGUAAAUUGCGCACCUCUGUCUGAAAUAAUGGAGACCGGGACUCCAUGAAGUUUUAGCACCUCCUGAAUAUACAACCUGUCAUAAUCUUCUGGUGAAUGAGUAGUCUUCACCGAUAAAAAGUGGGUUGAUUUUGUCAUUCUGUUGACAAUCACCCAAAUAGAAUCAUGCUGCCUGCGAGACCUUGGUAAACCUGUGAUGAAAUACAUAUUAAUCAUCUCCCACUUCCAUUUUGAAAGUUCAGUAUUCUGAGCCAAGCCACCGGGCCUUUGGUACUCUACUUUAACUUGUUGGCAAUUUGAGCACUUAGCAACAAAUUCUGCAAUGCCCUUCUUCAUACUAUUCCACCAAUACAACUCCUUCAAAUCACGAUACAUCUUUGUGGAACCACGAAGAAUGGAAUAUCUGGAGCUAUGAACUUUCUCCAUGAUCCCUUCUUGGAGUCCAUCCACCAUUGGUACACACAAUCUACUUUGAUAUCUCAGUACGCCAUCUCCCCAUUGUUCAAAGGCUAAUACUUUUUGCUUAUGAACAUUUGCCUUCAAUUCAGGCAAAAUAGGGUCUUGGUCUUUGCUUGCCUUUUACUUCUGACACUAAUGAUGAUUCAGCUCCAUUCAUCACCACUAUUCCUCUUUUUGAGGAAUCCAUGAGUCUUGACUCCCAAGCGUGCAAGUCUAUGCACAUCUUUUUCUAACUCUUUUUUUUCUUCCUCAACAUGGGCGGUACUACCCAUAGACAACCUGUUUAAGACAUUAGCAACAACAUUAGCCUUACCUGGGUGGUAAAGAAUACUCAUGUCAUAAUCUUUGAGUAAUUCUAACCACCUCUUCAGUCUGAGAUUGAGUUCUUUCUGAGUAAACACAUACUGGAGACUCUUGUGAUCAGUGAAUACAUCAACAUGAACACCAUACAAUUAAUGACGCCAUAUCUUCAAAGCGAAUGCUAUAGCAGCCAACUCUAAGUCAUGCGUUGGGUAGUUCUUCUCAUGAACUUUCAACUGUCUGGAGGCAUAAGCUAUAACCUUGUCAUUCUACAUUAAUACACAACCCAAACCAACUCUAGAUGCAUCACAAUACACCACAAAACCUUGUGUACAUUCUGGUAAGGUCAAUACUGGGGCAGUAGUUAACCUCUUUUUCAAUUCCUAAAAGCUUUUCUCACAAGCUUCAGACGAUUGAAACUUAACUGUCUUCUGAGUCAAUUUGGUCAAAGGGGACGAAAUAGACGGGAACCCCUUUAUGAACCUUCUAUAAUAUCCAGCCAAGCCCAAGAAAAUCCUAAUAUCAGUUGGAGAUGUGGGUCUAGGCUAACUCUGCACUGUCUCUAUCUUUUGGGUAUCGACUCUAAUUCCAUCACCGGAAACUAUGUGGCCCAAGAACGCCACAGACUCAAGCCAAAACUCACAUUUCGAGAACUUAGCAUACAACUCCUUAUUUUUCAAAGUCUUAAGAACUAUUCUGAGAUGGCUAGCAUGAUCUUCUUCAUUCCUUGAAUAGAUUAGUAUGUCAUCAAUGAAGAUGAUAACAAACAUAUCUAAAUAAGGUUUGAAGACUUUAUUCAUAAGGUCCAUGAACGUUGCGGGUGCAUUAGUCAAACCAAACGACAUAACCAGAAACUUAUAAUGACUAUAACGGGUCCUGAAUGCUGUCUUUGGAAUAUCACAAUCCCUUACUUUCAACUUAUGGUAGCCAGAUCUAAGGUUUAUCUUCAAAAAAUAAGAAGCACCCUGAAGCUGAUCGAAAAGAUCAUCAAUUCUUAGAAGAGGAUACUUGUUCUUGAUGGUAACCUUGUUCAACUGACGGUGAUCAAUACACAUCCUAAGGGAAUCCUCUUUCUUUCUCACAAAUAAGACCGGAGCGCCCCAAGGUGAGACACUUGGUCGAAUAAAACCUUUAUCUAGGAGAUCAUUUAACUACUCUUUAAGCUCUUUCAACUCUGUUAGUGCCAUUCUAUAUGGUGGAAUAGAGAUAGGACGAGUAUUUGGAAGAAUAUCUAUACCAAAGUCUAUCUCUCUCUCGGGAGGGACUCCGGAAAGAUCAUCUGGAAAGACUUCUAGAAACUCUUUUACUAUAGGAACUGACUAAAUAAGAGGUAUCUCAACACUAUAGUCAUUAGCUCGGACUAAGUGAUAGACACACCCUUAGAAACUAACUUCCAUGCCUUAAGGUACGAAAUGAAAUGACCCUUAGGCACUGUUGAACUGCUUUUCCACUCUAAGACUGGCUCAUUUGGAAACUGGAACUUGACAACUCGAGUUCUACAAUCAACAGAGGUAUAACAGGUAUGGAGUCAGUCUAUACCAAGAAUGACAUAAAAAUCUACCAUGUCUAACUUAAUUAAAUUAUCCAUGGUACAUUUGUGAUUGACGGAAAUGGGACAAUCACGAUAAACUCUCUCUGCUAGAAUGGACUCACCAACAGGUGUAGAAACACUGAAUGGUUCACUAAGUUGCUCAGGAAUAACAUCAAAAUUCAUAGCAAUAUAUGGAGUUACAAAGGACAAACUAGCUCCUGGGUCUAGCAAAGCAUAAACUGUAAAGUUAAAGACUUGGAUCAUACCAGUGACAACAUCUGGCAAAUUCUUUUGCUCUUGGCGACUGCUGAUAGCAUAUAAGCGGUUUGUUCCUCUGUCAGUACCGGAAGUAGUCCCUCUAGGUGCAGUUCUGUCUGGUGGAACAACUGAAGAAGACUGGGCUUUGUUGCCCCCAUUACCAUUACGUUGCAUGUUCUUUGGACACUCUCACAUGAAAUGCCCAUUCUGAACACACUUGAAACAACCAGUGGAGACCUCAUGAAAAGUACCUGAGUGGUUCCUACCACACUUGGCGCAUGCAGGAGGCUUACUACCCCCUUAUGCCAUGCUACCCUGAGAAUAAGCAGGUUUAGCUCUAAAAUUCUGACUAUUGUACUCACAUUUGUUCUUAGGUGCAGGCGCACUAGCAAAUGAUGGAGCAGCUCCCUUCUGUUUCUGUUGGAAGGAUGACCGGUUGGCACUACUCUUCUACUGCCCAGACUCAUUCCCUGUCUUAGCCCUCUUGUUCUUAAACUCUUCUCUAUCCCUUAGCUUCUCUUCCUCAACCUACUGCACAUAUACCAUUAACCUCGAUAUGUCCAUGUCCCCAAUUAGCAUUGCAGCCCUACCUUCCUUACUCGACAGACGAGACAACCCAGCAACAAACAAGCUCAUUCUACUCCUCAUGUUCGCAACCAUCUCCGAAGCAUAAUGGGAUAGUUGGGUGAACUUCAACCCAUACUCAUGAACACUUAGCGACUCCUGUUUAAGGGUAAGAAAUUCUCGUACCUUAACCUCCUUCAGUUCUCGGGGAAAGAAACUCCUCAAGAAAGCCUCCUCAAAAUAGGCCCAACUCGCAGGUGGUGCAUCCUCAGCUCUAUCCUCUUUCCACUGAUCAAACAGGUUCUAACAAAAUUCUUCAGUUGAUAUGCAGCCAGCUCAACUCUCCCAGUAUCAGAAACAUGCAUCACAUCGAAUACUUUUUUCAGUUCCUCAAUAAAGUUCUCUGGAUCCUCAGUAGUGCUUGAACCAAUGAAGCUUGGAGGAUUCAUCCUUAAGAACUCUCUAAUCCUUGAAGUGUCAGCUCCUUCCUAUCGAGCUCCCCUUUGCUUCCCAACCUGGUUAGUCACAGCCUGACUUAGCAUCCUGAUUGUUUCCCUGAAUUCAGCAUUGGUAACUUCUCCUUAAGGUUGCACUUCAGGUGCAUUUGGUAACUCUUGUUCCUCAACAUUGCGUCUAGCAGGACGACCUCUGACAGCUCUUCAUGGAGGUUUGAUUAUGUGAAAACACGUGUAAGCACGAAUUAGAAGGAGCCUUUUAGAGAUCAAACUCUAACGCACGAAAUGAUUGUGAAAGAAGUGAGAAGUUUUCCAAAGUUUUGCAGCCUCCUAAUUAUAGAUGUGGCGUGCUUGACACAGAUAACUAGGACUCUACAGACACGACUUUAUAGACUCCCUAGGACUCUUGAACUCUGUGAUUUGAUACCAAGUUUGUCACGCCUUGAGCCUACACCCUGGGUGAGACUGGCACUAGAGAACCAUUGCUGGCCCAAGUGAACCCCUGGCCUGGCAUACUUACUCAGUGGAAGACUUAAACUCAACAAAAAAAAAUAGGUUUAUAUAAUAAAGUAGAAUGUUAUAAAAGAACAUUUAACUGGCCAUUAAGGCAACUCAAGUCUUAACAUGGAAUAAUGAAAAUAAAAAGACUAAAGAACUAACAUUUGACUAUCUAUCCUAGUUACUUGUAUCUACAUCAUAAGACGAUGCAGGCCAAUUGGCACCAGUACAUUGAAUGUACGAGUAUGCGAGUUGGAAUGCUAAAACAACAUAGGCUUGAGAAGAAUCUAAAAGAAACUGAAGAACUUACCUAGCUCAACUCAACUCAACAUAACUAAACUCAUUUCAAUAUAAGGAAGUUUAAUACAAGUGCAAUAUAAAGAAAAGCUGGUGAAAACAUCAUAUCAACUUUGUGUGUAUGCAAGGAUACAACAAAACUCUGAAAUGUAUGUGAAAAUACAUUAAACGGUGUAUAUAAGAAUAUAAUUACUGAUUUGGGAGGUUCUCUAACCGACAGCCAUCACGUAAGAGCUAUUAUGAUAAUAAAACAUUUUGUCUCACGCUGCCAGGGCUGUCCUAUACCUUGCCGAGGGUAUAGAACCUGAACUACUAAGUGCAUUCACUAGUCUAUGCUAAAAAUCACUAAGGGUUCAUCUAAAAAGUAUGACCCUUUUAUACCCAUGAUGGCUACAUGGUUUAUGGGGGCUGUGUGUUCUCUGAACGCUCCCCCAUAUCAGUGCUUAAUACUACUCCCAAAAUAUGAUAUGAUAUUAACUCAUAUAUUUUUUUUAAAAAAACAAUUCUUCUGUGAAUUGAGAUUAGUGCUCAAAAACAUUGCUCAAAGGCAAUCUUAGAAAUCAAAGUUUCCCUUCUGUCUUCAUUUAGAAAGCAAUUUCUCUUCUCUGAAAACUAGCCCGAAGGCUCAUUGGAAAUCGAGGUUUCCUUUCUUGUUUAAAUGUGAAAACAUUUUAUUCCUUUGGGAAUACAUAGUCCCCAUAUAACUUUGAAGAAAUGAACUUCAAGAUUUACUCUUUACUGAAUUCAAAACUUAAGUCUUAAAACAAAGUUAAAAUGUUUGCAAAAGACUUUGGGAAAACUUUAAGAACUUCUCUAGACUUUGAUCUUAACUGCUCUUGACUUGACUCUUUACUGGUCGUUGAAUUGAAUUAUGGAUUCAAGGAUUUUGAUUUGUGAUAGGAAGGAUCACAUGAUGUUUAGGAAUUAUCUUAAAUAGCUAAACAUGAGAAAAGUCACGAAAUCACCGUCUUGGAACAAGUCUGCGACGCGGAGGUGUUUUAAAUAAUAACUCGCAAAAUUAAAUUUUGAGACAGAGGAGUCCGCAUCUUAACCUCGACACAGAGAAACUCUUUGGCUACUGGGGGAGCAAGUCCACGACGCAGACUCACGUGCCAGAUCACGCUCGACUUUUUCCUUUUUCGUUUUACAACACCAAUUCACCUAAACUCGAUUAUCAUUCUCAAAUUCAUUUUAGAUUUCGAUACCCAUCAUAUGUACUCAAGAACCUAACUCAAAACAACUCUAAAACUCAACGUAAAGAUCUCAGAAACUCCUCAAUUCUGCCCAAUUCAAGAACAACAUUCAAAUUCAAGAAUACAUGUCAAGAACAUCAAAUUUCAAACUCUUUUAGGACGAAUUUUGCUGAACUAAACAUGUUUGGCAAGUGGGUGAAUGAACCCAAUGCUAUGAAAGACUCACAUACCUUGUAAGAAGAAUUCCUUGGCGAAUUCACAACCAAAAUCGAUCGUUCUUGGCGAACCUUGAGCUUUUCCUCUCCUUUCUCCUCUUUUUCUCUUUUCUCCAAGCCCUAGCGUGAAUUUCCAAUUGACUAAACUGAUCUCAUUCUGAUUUGAUCCCUUAAUUAAUUCACUAAAACGAAUUAAAUUAAUUGGGUAAGGAAAAGACUAAUCUACCCUUCAAAAAUCCGGAUUAGACUUUCCUUAACCACACAUCCCAACAUCCAAAGGGCGUAAUUCACUCAUACAAACUCAGAAUCAUGCAAACUCAGUAGCGUUGGAAAGAUUAUUCCAAUAUCUUUCCAACCAUAUCUGGAAGUACAGCUAACUCAUCCAGAACUAGAAGUUAUGGUCGUUUGAAGUUGACCGAAACUCAACUUUUCCUAACUUAAACAAUUUUUUCAGAUUUUCAUUUCCAAAAAUAGCUAUUUCCAAUUAUUAGCUUCUUCCUAGUUAUUUCAAUUGCGAGAUGCUACAGUGGGGAAGAUCGGGAAUGAGGCGAUGGAGGUUGAAGAUGAUAAAGGUCAUUGUCAAGUGUUCCUCGAAGCAGUUUCCUGCCCUACAAAUCCUUCACAUAACAAACAUAAGGAUGAAAUUCCAUGUAGACAUUGUUAUGGCGAGUUAAUUUAGCAACACUAAAUAAAUUUUUGGAAAUUUGUGAGGCAUGGAGAAUAUUAUUAAGAUGAAUGGGUUGUGUGUGUAGACAGAAUUGAUGAGCUAGUAUGCGAAAUGGGAAUUUUCAUACCAUUACCAACCGCUAAACCAUCUUUGCUGGUGUAAGUUUGUAAGGAGAUAUUAGCCAUGUCUGAGGUCACAUGAUGUGUAGCACCCGAAUCAAAGCACUAGGUCGCAGGAUCAACAAUAGCUGAAGGAGAAGCAAGAUGUGCUUGUUAUGGGAAUUGAUCGUGGCGGUGUUUUCCUUGUUGGUGGAAAAUCAUUUUCAUUGGAGCGAUUAUAGCAAUUACGAGCAUCGUGAUUAUUUUUACCACAUAUUUGACAUUGCGCACGUCAUUUGGACUAACGAUUAUUGGAUAGAGAGGAAUGUGAAUAUUGUUGAGGUACCAUAGACUAAGCGUGAUUAUGAGAAUUAUGAGCAAGGUAAUUAGAGAAUGGGGGAGGGCCAAGAAUGGAUGAUUGGUUUACGUUAAUGGGGGAGGGCCAAGAAUGGAUGAUUUGUUUAUGUUAAUGGGUGGAGCGGGGUGAAGAAAGGAUGAAUUGUAUGUUAACAGUGCAUGAGAAGGAGCAACGCCGAAUUGAGUAUUAAUAGUGGUAGAACGAAGUUCUUCGGCUAAGCGUUCUUCUUCUUGAAGAAGAAGGCCAAAUAGUUCUUCAGGAGUGAUAGUACCAGAAUGCAUAUUAAGCGCAGCCUUGAAAAUUCCAAACAAAGAAUCAAGUCUAUUAUGAAUAAAUGAGAUGAAGUCAUCAUCUUGUACAAAGUACAAGCUUUCUGCUAGAGAAUCGACAAUUGCGUGUUUCUUCUCAAAGUACUCUAGAAUGGAGAGAUUACCUUUAGAAAGAUUUUGAAGUUGAGAUUUUAAUUGCAUGACUCGAGUACGUGUUUGUGAUUGAAACAUCCGCUCAAUUUUUGUCCAAGCAUCAUAGGAAGAGGAGGCUCGAGUUAAGUGACCAAGAAGAGGAUCAGAAAUUAUUUGACGAAGCCAAACGAGAAUAAGAAGAUCGCUGCGUCACCAUUCCUCAUAAGCAGGGUUAGAAGUGAUUUCUGGUUGUGCUUGGGUGGUAGAGGAUUCUGUAGCAGUAGUGAUUGAAGUUGGGGUGACAAUAAUAGUUUUUGUAGGAGAAUUAGAACGAAGAACAAAUGAGUCAAGAGAAAAAGCUUUGAGUAUGUCCAAAGUAUUUUCUUUCCAAAGAGAAUAAUUAUUUCUGUCAAGUUUGAGAGAAAGGUUUGGUAGUUGAAUAAUGGAGGAAGCGGUGGGUUGUUUUGCAAGUGACAACAGAUUUCCAGAAUUUUGAGAAGUGGCCAUAGGACCGAUGGGCAAAUCUGAUACCAUAAUAAGAUUAAGAACAAGAGGAAUUUGAGAAAAUAAACGCAGAUUGAUUGUUCUGCCGUUUGCACCUUUUAUUUAUAGACUUUGUACAUGUUUAUGAUAAGAAUCUUUAUCUACUACGUAUUCUAAAGGAAGAGUAAUCCUUUUGUUACAAUGAAUAAGCUACAAUAAUCGAAUUCUAGUUGAUGAUGGACUCUAAUAGUCCCCAUUGGAACUUUGGUAGCAACCAUCUCCAUCAGUAUAUUUCGGAUCUCAGUGAGUUCCUUAGAGAAGGAAUCCUUCACUUCCUUAAUCGAAUCAUCCAUAUGAGCCUUGAGUAUUUUGUAGUCCUGCAUGAGUGACCUCUGGAUGGAAGCACCAAUGCAACAAACUAGAGAAAAAUAUUCACAAAUAAAGGUGGAUUGUAUUAUAACAUUAAUUGAAAUACAAGAUUGGAAAAGAAAUAUCAAUGAAACAGUAACAAGGAAAGAAGGAAGGAUCUGAGAAAACAGAGAAACAGAGAGAUGAGAUAUCCAGACUGAAAUUACAAUUGCCUAACUAAUACAGAUGCCUACGUUUGUUAUUUAUCAAAUUUGGCACUUCACGAACUCCACUUUCUUCCCUUUGUCCACGUUCUCGUCACCCUGUUCCCACUAUGAAUCCAGUUAACCUUGUUGAAGGGUUUCUCACGUGCUUACUUUUUUUCAAAACUGUACUCUCCUGCUGAGUGUGUGUCUCCACGGUGGCUGCUGAUGUGUCCUCCAAGUCAGCUUGUCGGGUCACAACACAAACUAUUAGAAUAAUUCUCUCAGACAUUUAGUUGAUUUUGGUUGGACACAAGAGGUACUUAAUUGAUAACAUCACAUGGUACAUGAUGAAAAAUAAUGUAUAAUAGAAUAAAUAGGAAAUAUUUCAUUAUUAUUGUGUCAAAAUUAAAUACACAUAAAAUUCGAGCAAAUUUCAUAACAUUGGAAUCAAGUAUUAUAUAAUCAUAAAAAAUAAAUUAUACAAUAAAAAUUAAAUGGUACCGCUUGCGAAAAUUCAAUUCACGAAAAGGAAACAAUCCUAAUAAAGAAUCACGAAAGUGAACCUCGACUCAACCUUUGUUUGUAAAUAGAAAAAAAUAUAUAUAUAAUAUGUGAGGGUGAAUUUUUUUCUUUCCGUAUCUAGGUAGUAUUUUGGUGUUGUGUGUGUGGGUUGCUUUUUUUCCUUUUUCCGUGGGUCUGUGAGUAUGUUUGCUGAUUUUUUUUCUUUUUCAGAGGAUACGUGAUUGGAGGGAGUAUUGUGCAGGUUGUGGAAGGAAUAGAAGAUUUGUAUUGUAUGUGUUGUAUUGGAGAGUAAGGUUUUUCUUUUUUAAAUAAAUGACGAUGAUCAAGAUGAACAACAUUCGAAAACAAGCGAAACAUAUACAGAACUUUUAGCAAACAUAGAUAAUACAAAUAAUUUAGAAAUAAAUACAUGAGAUGUAGACAUGGAUAGAAAAACCUAGCACAUCAGGAGUAGAAAGAACCCAAAAAAAUCUAAAUACCAAAAUAUUAUAAUGAAAACUAUGAACAAUAUAAUAGAGAAAAAACUACAUGGGAUAAAAAAUUAAAUAAAAGAUGGACGCCUAAACCAAUAACUGGACAACAUGAUUUUUUAGAUUUAGACUGUGUAGCAGAUAUAAAGGAAUUAAAGAAAUGUUUUUAUUGUUUAUGUUGUUUUUUGUACGUAUGUGUAGUGUGUGUUUAGGAUCAUUUUUCUUCUUUUUGUUUUUGCUCUGUGUCCUCUUGUGUAGUAUGUAGUAUAUGGGUGUAGGGGUGAAUUGUGUGUUGUGCUCAUUCAAGGUGUUUGAAACCCAUUAAAAAAGUCUAACCUCUAACAUGUCUAGAUGAGUAGGCUUUGGGCAGAGAAAGAAGUCAUCUUGGCAAGAUCGUCCGCAAGUUGGUUCCCUUCUCUAAAACAAUGGAUCGCUUGAAUUCCAAAUUUGUUCUUGAUGUUGUUAAUAGUAUUAAUAACUUAUUUUAGCUUCAGAUUUGUGCCCGAGUUUGUGAUUAGCAUGUUGGCUAUGAUCAUUGAAUCAAGCUCAAAAAUCAGCAUACCCAUAUUGAUAGCACCAUUUUACACCAAACUAAGCUACCAAAGACUCAGCCAUGUUACUAUUAUUACAGUUGACAGAAAUGGAGAAAGCCAUGAUCAAGUCUCCCUAGUCCGUGACUAUCUUUUACAGUUCUCCCAAUGCCAGCCUUUCUAGUUUCAUGCAAAUAGCUACUAUCUACAUUAAUUUUUAUAGAGCUAACUGGUGGAGAACUCCAUAUGAAUUGCUUCCAUCUCUGAUAUGGUCUAACGUUCAUAAACGGCUAAUAGAUGAGCAUCCUAACAUGCUCCACCUGGAUGGAGCUGUCGGGAGGCCAUCUAUUAUGACCCGAGACUACCCGGCUUAGUCGUAAUACAUUGCUUAGAGCUAUAAGUAACCCCAAGCUAACACAUGGACUAGCAUGACACUAAAAAAUACAUAGAUAGAGCUGAAAUACAGAUGUGGAAGCUAAAUAAUACAACUGAAUGGAAUAUAAAAGUUGUCCUCUAUAGAUGAUGACUCACCAAUAAUACUACUAAGCUGAUAUGAAGUCGUACUAACCGCGGUCUGAGUGCUGAAUGUCUGAACCUAUAUUAUCAAACAAUAUAAGUGUUGAACGUCUGAACCUAUAUUAUCAAACAACUAUCGCUGAAUCUCUUGUUUACCGGAUGAUUCCCCCGACUGGAAGAGAAGCUAUGAUCACUGCUCCAACACCACCGGUGGCAGCUUUAAAUAGCUACAGGGCAGCUCAGUUGCAUGAUGGAAUACAUCUCGCUAAUUAUUCUAAGAGACGCCAAAUGCCCAUGGCUUACUAGUUGGUGCAACUUUUUAUGUAGAUAUUAGUUAAUUACACUACCUACACUUGUAAGUCCUGGUUUUGCUCUUAGCAGAAUUUUGUAGCAAAACCAUAGUUAUAUGUACGUAUGUGUUGUAUUCUCAAUGUAAUAAAAGCUCUUCUUGUAUAUGUAUCUUUAUAACUCUAUAACUUUAUCUAUAAUGUACACAUCUAUUUAGGAGCGGCUCAAGCAUAUUUGUGGACUAAAACAAAAAUCAAACGAGGCCUAAGGCACAUGUCUUUAUUUUAACACUGUCGAGUGCCCCCUGCAUCUAUACUAAUUACAUGCAUAAAUAUAUUACUCUCCUAUUUCAAUUUAUAUGAUAUUUUAAAAAAAUAAAAUUUUCCCAGAUUAUAUCUGAAUGGUGUUGUAUUAGCAAAAAAAAAAGGCAGAGGAGGGGCUCAAUACAACACAAAAUCCAAAGGUGAAGCAAUCACCCAACAAUCACCAUUAGUCUUACAAAAGAAUACAAUGCCUUCUGGUUAAGCAAAAAAGAAACACGACAGCUUACACAAAAAUUGGCUUUAUCAUAUUUGCACCUAAGGUUAGGUAAUUUUCAUUUAUCCAAAAGAAAAAACCUUAAGCAUGUCUAGGAAGAUGAGCAAAGUCCUGAGUGAGUAGGCUUUGGGUAGAGAAACAAGUCAUUUUGGCCAUUUUGGCAAGGUAGUCAACACGUUGGUUCCCUUCUCCAAAACAAUGACUCACUUGAAUUCCAACUCUGUUCUUGAUGAUGUUAAUGAUAUCAGUAACUUGUUUUAGCUUCAGAUUUGUGCCCGAGUUGUUGAUUAGCAUUUUGUCAAUGAUCAUUGAAUAAAGUUCAAAAAUAAAAUCAGUGUACCCAUAUUGAUAGCAAGCACCAUUUUACACUAAGGGUGUGUUUGGUAUGAAGGAAAAUGUUUUUCAUGGAAAAUGUUUUCCCGGAAAACAAGUUGAUUUUUGACUUAUUCUAUCAUGUUUGGUUGGUGAGUAGAAAAUAUUUUUCGGAAAAGAUUUUUAGUGUUUGAUUUACGAAUGAAAAAUAUUUUUGAGAAAUAUCUUUUUAUUUUUACUAGCGUAGAAAAUAAUUUUUGAAAUUGAAAAUAUUUUUUAAAAACAAACUUAAAUUCUUUUUGCGGGGGGGUGGUAGGGGUGGGUGAGGGGGGUCGAGGAUAGUGGUGAAAAUAUUUUUUAAAAACAAUCUUUAAAUUUUUUGGGGGGGGCUGGUUGGGGGGCUGGUUUGAGGGUAGAGACAAUAAAUUGAUUUUUUCAACAAAAAUGUAAUUGUAAUUUAAAGUUGGAAGAGAGUUUGGGAAAAUGUUUUUUCUUAAGUUUUGAAAGGAAGUCAUUUUCCUUAAAUUUGAGGAAAAUGAGUUGAUUUGGAAAAUGUUGGAAUGUAUGCGUCCACUAGUCUAGAUCGGACCAGGUCCUCAGCACAGUUACAAUAACAGAAAAUAAACAAAGUGCUAAAAGUAAAGAUUGCACAACAACUUUACGUGGAAACCUCCUUGCUCAAGGGAGUAAAACCACGACCUGGCCUGCCAAGACUUUUCAAACUGCUUCCACUAAUCUUCUCAAAGCAAAAGUAAAAGUCAGUUUACAAAAUGAGAUUAACCUACUAAUCUUCCACACUAAGCAAUAUAUCCUAUUACUUAGACGAGCCUAAGCAGAUACAACACUUCCCACUAAGUUAUCACCCCUAGAUAACUUAGACUUAGCUAAGCGGAUACCACACCGCCCACUAAAUCAACUAGCUCCUAGAUGACUUAGACUUUGACUGAGCAGAUACAACACUGCUCACUAAAUCGGCUAACUCUAACCGACUUAGACCUUUCCACACAGAAACAAAUAUCUAAAUCCUUUAUAGACUAGGAAAAGAUUUACAAUAUACGCACAGAAGUAUAACUCCUAAGACACACUCGGAUCCUUGCAGCUUGAUCAAGUCCUUGUUGUGCUUGCUGGAGAAUACUUCACCAAAAUGGUCUUUGCUUGAAUACUUAAUAAGUUUCAAGAUGCAAAAACCUAUAAAAUGAUAGACACAAAACUCAAACUCAACAAAGAUGCUUCAGCCCUUUAUCAGAUUCUUUUGUUGAGUGUAAGUAUCGUUCUACCUUGAAGAUGGCCUUUUCCUUUUAAGCUUGUGAGUUUUUGUUUGCCAAAAUCUUGAGUUUGUGUUUUGUGUUAAGAGAUUAUAUAAAAAAGAACACAAACUCCUUGGGACCGCCCAUUGGCUCAGAGCCUGCCUCUCUGGAAGGACGUGCACAUACCACAUCAGUAGUGGUAGCUUUUCUGACAGCUGUCUUGUCGUCCUUUCACAUCGCAAUCUUGCAGGGACCAGGUCCCUUUCAAACUUCUCUUGGAAGUUCUUGAGAAUAUGUGCUGGUUCUCACCUUUUGAAUGAAUGAAUUAGUUUAUUGUUUUUCCUUGGAUAUAUUUAGACAUGAAAAGUUAUUAUCCAAUGAACAAGCAACCUCGUCGCUUCUGAUUGGUGGAGUACUCUGUAGCUUCACCAACCUUCUGACGCAAACAACUUUCCAGUUGUACAGCACUCUGACCACUGGAUGAGUAUUCAUACUCUACAGAGGACCAGGUCCCUGCACUUGUGAGGAGAUCAUCAAAACAUCAAGAAGCCUAAGCACUUAUCAAUUUCCCCCUUUUUGAUGAUGACAAACAACCUGCAUAACUCCUCCCAUAAGUGAACAAACAUUCAUUCAAUAACUGGUGUUCCCCCUUAAUUAGUGUCCCUGCACUUGUGAGGAGAUCAUUAAAACAUCUAGGAACAUAAGCACUUAUCAAUCUCAUACUCUGCAGAGGACCAGGUCCCUGCACUUGUUAGGAGAUUAGCAAAACAUGAAGGAACAUAAGAACUUAUCAAUUUCCCCUUUUUUUUAUGAUGACAAACAACCUGCAUAACUCCUCACUUGAGUGAACAAACAUUCAUUCAAAUACAUAACAAAUUCCCCCAGUGUUAGUGCACCAGUAAUAACCACAGUUCGUUCCCCCUUAGUUCAAUGCCCCUAACAACCACAGUUCCUCCUUAGUUCAGUGCCCCUAUUCCACAACCAACUUUACAACAAAACUUCCCCCUUUUGACAUUAUUGAAAAGGUGAAGCAGUAAACAUAUUCAAGUUAAAUGCAAGGCAAUAAAGAAUUCAGGGCCUUGGGCCACACAGAACAUGUGUAUGUAAGCAUAAAGAGAAUAUUAAGCCACACAUGAAUAGGGGAGAAACAUAAAUAGUAUUAGAUCACAAAUACUGAUCACUGUAGUCAGUCAAAACAAACACAAAGCCACAAUAUUUUUAAUCAGGAUUGAAGAACAAAGAGGGAAACUAGGGAAACAAGACACUUUUAGGACGGAGGGGGAAAGGGAUUGAGGGUGCGCAUAAACAGAGACAGACGCUCAUUUGCAUCCUCAUGAGCCUUAAUAAGUUGCAUGUUGAGAGCCUUAACUUCCUCACUAGGUGAGGCAUUUGUCUUCAGCAGCCUUUCAUUUUCAUCCCUCAACUUUUGCAACACCUGCUCAUUUCCAUCGCUGGUACCAGGUCCCCUCGAAACCGCCUACUGUAAUUCAGACCUCAGUGAAACGAUUUCAAUCUCCUUGUUAUUCAAAAUCUCAGUAAGAUCAGUCACUUCCCGUUUAAGAGCAGCUUGCUGCUCUAGAACAUCUGUCAGUUGAGAUCUUCCCCUAGCUUUUCCUUCAACACACUCACAUUCCAGCAUAAUGGCAAAGAGGUUGAUCUCUUCAAGUUCAUCAAGCUUCUCCAUGAGAUACAGAUCAGCAGCAAAUGCCACUGUUCCUUUUUUUUUUUAGUUCUGGGCACUAAAACCUGGUUGAUGAACUCAAAAAGCAACUGAUAUUUCCCUUUGAGAAACCUUUUCGGUAACCCUGCAUUCUUGACAUCUCCACAUUUUGUGGCAAGUGCAUCAAAAAGAUUUGAUAUUCCAAAUUUGGUUAGAAUGUUAGGGUCAAAGACUCUGCCAUUCAAAACCUUCUGGUUCUCCAUUGCUGUUAUCCGCUCCUCUCUUGUAAUUUCCUUUUCUUCACUUUUGUUUUUGCACCCUAGGACCUGGUCCCUUUAUGAGUUUUAAUUUUCAGCUACCUGUUUUCUAAGUUUCUCCCUUUUCACAGGAGAUAUCUUUGCAACCUUCUAGAGUAGGAAAGGAGAAGUUGAAUGAACAAGGGUUUUCAACUUCUUGGGAGAUAGGGAUCUUUGAAGAAGAAUUAGAGUUAGAAAUUUUGAGAGAAAAAGAGAAAAGCUUUGGAGAGGGGAUAAGUGAAUUUCAACAAGAAUUUGUUUGAAGAGAUUAUACAAUUUGAUUCACUAAGAGAAGUAGCAUAUAAAACCAAAAAGACAUCAGAUCCCCAACAGUAGCUACCUUUGGUUUAAAAGCAAAAAGACGUUUGAAAAUAACGCGAUGAAUAGGCGAGGGACAUGUGGCAGUGAUGUUGACAUACAGACAGUGUAGCGUACGUGAUACUAACCUCAGGAGGACCAGGUCCCCUUUUUAGUUUGCAACCAUGUCUGUAUGAUUUAAUCUUCCCUUCUUCUAGACACACCAUGAGUGUAUACCUGCAUUAAGGUACCAGAAGUGAAUUCUUAAGUAACAAGCAUUAAAACAAGUAUAGAUACCUGCCCUCCGUAACAUAGUCAAAAUAGAAGUUUUUUAUCCAAACUUUGUCAAGGAAUCAGAUAAUCUUGUGCAUCCCCAGCCUCAUCCUGUUUUUAAUGAAACAUUUUUUACUCAAUGUCUUUGUAAAGAUGUCAGCCAGCUGAUCUUCAGUUUUGCAGAACUUCAUCACCACAUUUUGUUUUUCAACAUUGUCCCUUAGAAAAUGAUGUCUCACGUCUAUGUGCUUUGACCUCUUGUGCUGGACAGGAUUUUUGGCUAUGUUCAUGGCACUAGUGUUAUCACAAAUGAGAGGAAUAGUGUCUGUGAGUACACCAACAUCGACCAGCUGCUGCUUAAUCCAUAGUAGUUGUGCACAACUUGAUGCAGCAGCCACAUACUCUGCCUCUGCAGUAGACAAUGCCACGGAAUUCUGCUUCUUGGUUCCCCAUGAAAUCAAAGUUGAUCCCAAGAAAUGUGCCAUGCCUGAUGUGCUUUUUUCGAUCAACCAGAAAACCUGCAUAAUCAGCAUCAGCAUAACCUAUAAGAUCAAAUGAGUCACCAGUAAGGUAGAAGAGGACCAGGUCCUUAGUUCCCUUCAAGUAUAUCAAGAUAUGUUUGGCUGCCUUCAAGUAAGACUCAUUUGGUGCGGCUUGAAACCUUGCACACAUCCCUACGGUGAACACUAUGUCUGGCCUGCUUGCAGUAAGGUAUAGAGGUGAUCAUAUGAUUCCCAUACAUGGUUUGAUUUACCUCCACACCAUCUUCAUCUAUAUCAAGUUUCACACUUGUGCUCAUAGGAGUAUCCAGCACCUUUGCCUCAGGAAGACUUUGAUAUACUUCUCUUGGCAUAUUGAAAUGCCUUAAGAGGUUUGUUUGAUUUGCAAGCCUAGGAAGAAAGUGAGUUCUCCCAUCAUGCUCAUUUCAAACUCACUGCUCAUCAGAUCAACGAAUUUCUUGCAAAGUAAAUUUGUAGUGGCUCCAAAAAUGAUAUCAUCCACAUAAACCUGCCCAAUCAACAACUCCUUUCCUCAAGCUCUGGGAGCCUGUUUCAAUCCAUACAGAGCCUUGUCUAACUUCAGCACAUGAUUUGGCAGUUCUACAUCUUCAAAGCCUGGGGGAUGUUUGGCAUAUACUUCUUCUUUCAGAUUCCCAUUCAAGAAGGCACUCCUGACAUCCAUUUGAAAAAGCUUGAACUCCAUGUGAGCAGCAAAUGCAAUCAAGAUUCUGAUGGCUUCCAUUCUAGCUACAGGAGCAAAGGUCUCAUCAUAAUUAAUCCCUUCUUCUUGGUUGUAACCCUGUACUACCAGUCUUGACUUAUUUCUAGUAAUGAUCCCAUGCUCAUGAAAUUUGUUUCUAAAGACCCAUAUGUCCCAAUAAUGGUUCUGUCGAGUGGUCUGGGGACCAGGUGCCACACUUUUCUUCUCUCAAACUGAUGAAACUCCUCUUGCAUUUAAGUUACCCAGUUUACUUCAUUCAAGGCUUCCUUGAUGUUCUUGGGUUCAAUGGAUGAUAUAAAGGUUGAAUAUGCAACUAGAUUUCUUGUCCUGGAUCUAAUUUGAAUUCCAGAGUCAAGUGGGAAUAUGAGAUUGUCCAGUGGAUGAGAAGAUUGAUGUUUCCAUAUGGACAUUUUACUCGACUCUUCUUCUACAUCAACAUCAGAUUCAGUAUCAGAUUCAAUAUCAUUAUCUUCUGGACUUUGAAAAGGAGUCCCCUGGGUAGUGACAGAGGGACCAGGUACUCUUGUGAGAUCUGCACCAUUUUCUUUUGCAACCUGUUGGCUUCCAGGAUUUAGGAUUGCCUUGUUUUCCCUUUCUUUGAUCAGCUCCUAUAUUUCAUGGUCUCCCUUAUGAGCAUCAAUUUUCUCAGACUCAUCAAAAGUCACAUGCAUGCUCUCUUCAAUGCAUUGUUUAUAUACCGGAUAAGCCUUGCUGGAGGAAGAGUAUCCCACAAAUACUCUUUCAACAGCAUUGACAUUACACUUCUCAAUAUCAUCAUUUUGGUCACAAAACAUGUACUAUUCACCAUUUCAGCCCAAAAGUCCUUUGUUAAAUUAACAACCUAUAUAUUCCACUUGAAGGAUGGUCUGAUCUGCUUCCUUUUAACACAAACAUCACAAGCUUUGUCAUCGGUAAAUUUUAUUUUAAGCAUAUCGAGGACCAGGUCCCUUGACACAAAUUUGUGCAGUAGAAAAACAUUUACAAGAGCACGUCUCUCAUGCCAUACCUCAGCAUUCUCACUUUGAUCACUAAGGCAAGUGAGAUUCUCACAACAAGGCAAGUGAGACUGUCACAACGAACAUCAAUCAGAUCAGCAAUACACAUGUUCUUGCAUCUCUUUUCUAUCAAAUCAUCCCUGAGAGAGCAAGUAUGUGACCACAUGUUCUUUCCGAUAAGAACUUAACUUUGUUUCAUUCAUCACAAAUCUAUGAAACACUUAAAAGAUUGUACUUCAACCAUUGACAUAGUACACAUUCUCAAUAGUGUGUUCCAUAGAUUUCCCAAUCAUGCCUUCACAAAAAAAACAUACCUUUUCUGCCAUCGCCAAAUGAGACACCUCCACCUUGAAGUGCCUUGAGAGAGAAGAAGUUUUCAGUUUCCCAGUCACGUGCCUUGAGCAUCCGCAAUUCAUGAAUCAACGCUGACUGCUAUCAACGUUGACUGCUUCUACUUCUUCUCACAAGAAUACCAUAUCACUUGUUAGCCUUGGGAACCCACUUUAGUUGGAGUUCUCAGUAAGCAGAUAAAGGAGUGAUAAGAGAAUUCUUUGUCCAGUGAGGCAGAUUGAUUUUUUUUAACGUAGGAACAAGAGCACGACCAGGUCCCUUCUUCUGCCAGUUCUUCUGUUGUCCAGGUCUCUUCUUCUGCUUGUUGCUCUGUUGACCAGGUCCCUUCUUCUUCUUGUUCAUCUACUUAGAAUAUUUUUAGAGUUUAUCUUGGGUCCUUUUCCAAGUUGGAAAUCCUUUCAAGUGACCAUCCGACCACAAUGGAGACACGGCAAACUAUCAGACAUGGACACAUCUUGCCAUGAAGAUUGUAAGUAAGGACUUUUGCUUGAAUUUCCUAACCCCUUCCUAUCAUUUUGACCUUGACUGGUAAGUUUUGCAAGGAAUUUUGAGGAGUUGGUCCACUUGAGAGAUUCAUUCAGUUCUUCUUUGACACGGACCAGGUCCCUCUCUAACUGAUUAUUUCUCUCCAAGGCCAUAGCAAGUUUUGUUUCAGCAGUAUUCAAACUGGUUUCUAGCUCGAUUUGCAAGUUGUUGGGCUCCCCCUUACCGCUGCCACAUUUCUUACUCAACAUCUUUAAUUUUUCCCUAAGUUCUAGAUUUUCAGCUUCUAGAACCAUCAAUUGUUCUUCCACAACAGACAUUUGGUCAACCAAGGCAACUUUUUCUUCUCGAAGGAUAUCUAGGUUGUUGUUCAUCAGAUCAUUUUCAGUUGUUAACUCAAUGAAAAAGUUAAUCAAAAUAACGACUAGACUUCUUAACUUCUUAACACAAUAAACAUGCAAGUUUUGUUUAAGAUCAGAAAGGGUUACCUCUUCUUCAUAUUCCUCAUCAUUAGAUUUUGCCAAAAAGGCUUCAUCAGAGUGCUCAGAGUCAUCUGAAACACUCGAGGAGUCUUCCCAUGCAGUCAUCUCCCUCUUUACCAUCUGGAAAAAGGUUUCUCUUCUGCUACUGCUGACACGGACCUGGUCCCCCUCUUGGUCUUUUACUUCCUUGUGAUCAACUUCAAGCACAAGACAGCCUCUCAUGGUGUGACCUGGUUGAUCGCGCUUGUAACACAUGCCACUAUAGCUUGUAGCGCUAUCAUGAGCUUCUUCCUUCAUGGAACCUCCACGUUUACUCACAAGUUUUUGAAAUUUUUGAGUGAGAUAGUCCAUGGUCUCAUCUACUUCAAGGUUCUCACAUUGUGACACCUUGGAGGCUACUAAUUCAUACCUUUCUGCAUCUCCCUUCUGAUCAGCAUCCCUAGUCAGAUCUGCCCUUGUUUCCUCAGCUUCAUCAUAGGUAGUUCUCAGCAGAUCCCAAAUUUUUUUAGCUGAUUCGCAUGAAGAAAUCAGAUUAUAUACAUUAGGUUCGAUUCCACACAUUAAGAACUUCUUAGCCUUGUGAUUUUUCUUAACUUUCCGUUUGUCAAAUUCAUUGUAUUGCUGUCGAGUUUUGACAAUGACCCUUGUGACAUCCCCAUAUUUUACUUCUAUAGAUGGCACAUAGGAACCCUCACAAAUAACACCCCACAGCUCACAGUCUUCAGCCAUUAUGAAGUCAAACAUGCAAUGUUUCCACCACCGAUAAUACUGACCAUCAAACAAGGGUGGCCUUGUUGAGGACCGACCUUUUUGCCAUCUCAGUAAAGCAACCAUUCUUUCCAUAGGAAUCUCUCUUGGUGUUAACCAACUAGAUAGCACCCGCUCUGAUACCACUUGUUCGAAUGUAUGCGUCCACUAGUCUAGAUGGGAUCUGGUCCUCAGCACAGUUACAAUAACAGAAAAUAAACGAAGUGCUGAAAGUAAAGAUUGCACAACAACUUUACGUGGAAACCUCCUUGCUCAAGGGAGUAAAACCACGACUUGGCUUGCCAAGACUUUUCAAACUGCUUCCACUAAUCUUCUCAAAGCAAAAGUAAAGCCAGUUUACAAAAUGAGAUUAACCUACUAAUCUCCACACUAAGCAAUAUAUCAUAUUACUUAGACGAGCCUAAGCAGAUACAACACUGCCCACUAAGCUAUAAACCUUAGAUAACUUAGACUUUUCUAAGCAGAUACCACACCACCCACUAAAUCAACUAGCUCCUAGAUGACUUAGACUUUGACUAAGCAGAUAAAACACUGCUCACUAAAUCGGCUAACUCUAACCGACUUAGACCUUUCCACACAGAAACAAAUAUUUGAAUCCUUUAUAGACUAGGAAAAGAUUUACAAUAUACGCACGGAAGUAUAACUCCUAAGACACACUCGGAUGCUUGCAGCUUGAUCAGGUCCUUGUUGUGCUUGUUGGAGAAUACUUCACUAAAAUGGUCUUUGCUUGUAUACUUGAUAAGUUUCAAGAUGCAAAAACCUAUAAAAUGAUAGACACAAAACUCAAACUCAACAAAGAUGCUUCAGCCCUUUAUCAGAUUCUUUUGUUGAGUGUAAGUAUCGUUCUACCUUGAAGAUGGAUUUUUCCUUUUAAGCUUGUGAGUUUUUCUUUUCCAAAAGCUUNNNNNNNNNNNNNNNNNNNNNNNNNNNNNNNNNNNNNNNNNNNNNNNNNNNNNNNNNNNNNNNNNNNNNNNNNNNNNNNNNNNNNNNNNNNNNNNNNNNNNNNNNNNNNNNNNNNNNNNNNNNNNNNNNNNNNNNNNNNNNNNNNNNNNNNNNNNNNNNNNNNNNNNNNNNNNNNNNNNNNNNNNNNNNNNNNNNNNNNNNNNNNNNNNNNNNNNNNNNNNNNNNNNNNNNNNNNNNNNNNNNNNNNNNNNNNNNNNNNNNNNNNNNNNNNNNNNNNNNNNNNNNNNNNNNNNNNNNNNNNNNNNNNNNNNNNNNNNNNNNNNNNNNNNNNNNNNGUCCCUGCACUUGUGAGGAGAUCAUCAAAACAUCAAGAAGCCUAAGCACUUAUCAAUUUCCCCCUUUUUGAUGAUGACAAACAACCUGCAUAACUCCUCCCUUGAGUGAACAAACAUUCAUUCAAUAACUGGUGUUUCCCCUUAUUUAGUGUCCCUGCACUUGUGAGGAGAUCAUCAAAACAUCAAGAAGCCUAAGCACUUAUCAAUUUCCCCCUUUUUGAUGAUGACAAACAACCUGCAUAACUCCUCCCUUGAGUGAACAAACAUUCAUUCAAUAACUGGUGUUUCCCCUUAUUUAGUGUCCCUGCACUUGUGAGGAGAUCAUCAAAAUAUCUAGGAACAUAAGCACUUAUCAAUUUCAUACUAUGCAGAGGACCAGGUUCUUGCACUUGUGAGGAGAUCAUCAAAAUAUCAAGGAACAUAAGAACUUAUCAGAAAACAUUUUCCAAAACAUUUAACACAACCAAAUAUGAGAAAAUUGGAAAACAUAAUGUUUUCCUUCAUACCAAAUACACCCUAAACUUAGCUGCUAAAGACUCAGCCAUGUUACUAUUAUUACAGUUGACAAAAAUCGAGAAAGCCAUGAUCAAGUCUCCCUGACUAUCUUUUACAAUUCCCCAAUGUCGGCCUUUCCAGUUUCAUGCAAAUAGCAGAGAACUCCACUGUGUAACAAAAAGUUGGUUCAGUGAUUGAUGUUUUGCAAAUUUCCAGCUGUUUUUGCCAAAACAAAUUUGAUAUUCCAAAAAAUCUAAUAACUCAUCCUGUUGUUCAGGAAAUAUCUUGACCUCCAUAUUUGCACGCACACCAUUGCUUCCGUAAUUCCGAACAUAUAAUAAUAGGUGUGAUCUUCAACAAAGUUUUAUGGAUAGUAUUCUUUGUUAUUCUUUUUGGUCAAAUCUACAAAAAUGAAACAUUUUCUAAUUUGAAAAAUAUUUAACGACACUAUCAAUAUUAUUUUAUAAAUGUUGGGUAUCAUUUAUUUGACAACAAGUCUACAAAUGUACACUCUUGUAAAUUUAGUUUUGAAAACAUAGGAAAAAUCUUUUCAUAUUUUUUAAACUUCAUAAUAAGUCAAACUACAUUACAUAAAAAUCUCUAGGCUGAGACGUCUAUGCUUAGACUACCAUCCUUGUAUAUUUUACUUUUUGAUGAAUGACGAAUACCUUUAUGAGAACCAACUUCACUCACACAUCGGAUAGGUGUUAUGCACAAAGCCAACUAGUAAAACACGUUCGGGCGACAAACCACUGUGGCUAGAAAAGAUUAAUUAAAAAUUAUAUUCUCUCUCAUCUUUUCUAACAUUUAUAAACGGCUAAUAGAAGUGCGUCCUAACAUGCUCCACCUGGAUGGAUUUGUCAGGAGGCCAUCUGUUAUGAGCCGCCGAGACUAUCCCCUAGUCAUAAUACGGUGCUUAGAGUUAUAAGUAAUCCCAAACUAACACUUGGACUAGCAUGACACUAAGAAAUACAUACAUAGAACUGAAAUACGAAUCUGGAAGCUAAAUCUAAAAUGGGUUUAAUAAACUCAAAACAUCAGCUAUCUAAAUAAACAUAAGUUGAAGCUAAUGUGACCGUUUGAAAGCCUCUAUUAUGAUGAAUUGUUAGUACAAGACCUUAGCUAACUCUAAUUGCCUGAAAAUUAAAAUAAUACAAUUGAAUGGAAUGUAAAGGUUGUCCUCUAUAGAUGAUGACUCACCAAUAAUGCUACUAACCUGAUCUGAAGUCAUACUAACCACAGUCUGAGUGCUGAACGUAUGAAUCUAUAUUAUCAAACAAUAUAGCGCGAGAGUAUGCUAUUAGUACUUUGAAGGUACUGAGUAUAUGUAGGAUAUGGAUGAUAAACAUAAUAAAUAGAUAUGUUGAAUUUGAAAUGUUGUACUGAAUAACAUGAGAUAAUGCAAUGACCAAGUGGUAAAACAUGCAACUGAAAUAACUGACAAGGGCAAUGAAACAUCUAAGAGUGAACUGUGGGACAUACUAUAAACCUACAUAUAAUCACUACAACAAAUUUUAUUAUCAGGGACGAAUAAUUUCGUCAUCUAUAAAUCAUAUUUUGUCACUAAAACUCUUGUGUGACGAAAAAAAUUUCGUCAAACAGUCGUUACUAAACGUGUGUAACUAAAACUAUACAAAGACGAUUUAGUGCUUCAUCACUAAAAAUAUUAUAUUAACUACAAAAAGAAAAAUUGUCCCCAAAUGCAUAAACAUUUGUGAUGAAUUUAUUUGUCGUAAAAAGUGUAACUUUUUUGUAGUUAAUAGUAUGUUUUGUCACUAAAAAUAUUAUUAUUAGUGACAAAAUUAAAUCAUCACUAAUUAUUUUUUUCAAUCAGUGACGCCAUCAAAUGUCUCUAAAACUAUAUGUAUUUCGUAGUUAAAACAAUAUAAUAUCGUCACUAGUGACUACUUUUUAUAUACAAAAAAUUAUAUUGUCCUUAAAUUUAUUAUUAUAAAAAAGGUUAAUAAUUUUGUGAUUAAAUAUAUCAUUUUGUCACUAAAAGUGUUGCUUUUAUCGACGACAUAUAUUUUCACUAAAUAUUAUCAUAAGUAGUGACAAUUAUAAUUGUCACAAAAAAAUAAUUCAUAUUCAAUAAAAAGGGGUACUAGUACAAUACAUUUUGUGUCACUGAAUGUAAUCAACUAUGAUGAAUUAAUUUAAUUCAUGAAAAAUUUAUUUGUCUUAAAAUUCACCCAUGAUCAUAUAAUAAAAACAACUAAAAUUAUACUAAAUUAAUAAUAUCUCAUUACAAACUCCUAAAAUAAAAGUAAAAUAUGUCCAAUGACUAGAAAAUCAAACCAAAAAUAUACUAAAUAUUACUCCUAAACAAAGAUAUAUAAGU
RNAcentral lists this long non-coding RNA (41709 nucleotides) under Solanum tuberosum (potato). RNAcentral's name for it is "long non-coding RNA (STUB_LNC001336)". Lineage: Eukaryota; Viridiplantae; Streptophyta; Magnoliopsida; Solanales; Solanaceae. The record is from RNAcentral.